Molecule: microRNA precursor, 77 nt
Filed under: Paramuricea clavata
Lineage: Eukaryota; Metazoa; Cnidaria; Anthozoa; Malacalcyonacea; Plexauridae
Source: RNAcentral
AGUAAUAUGAUUUUUUCUGUGUUGGUGUUGUGUACUCAGGUGAGUACACAACACCAACACAGAAAAAAUCUAGUAAU